CUCUUCGUCAGGAGUUCUCAAUGGCCCCCAAGGUGCCUUUGUUUCCUCAAGGGGUUUUCAUAGCAUCCUCAGCUGUGGAAGGCAAUGUAUCGCAUCCUGUAUUACCUUCCCCUGACCUCAUAGCUUCCCAAAACAGGAACAAUCAUGGGCUUUGAAGUUACAGGAAUGCAGAUGUGAUUCCUAUGGAUGAGGGUAACCUAGAGGCUAGAAGAACAAUAGGACAGAAGAAGCCUGGGUCCCUGAACAACCUUGUGGAGCAUAGACACCUACGUGGCCUGGACUGCCAGCUCACAAUGGGCCUCUCUGUGAGAGAAGGAAACUUCCCUCUUGUU
Molecule: long non-coding RNA, 332 nt
Filed under: Homo sapiens (human)
Lineage: Eukaryota; Metazoa; Chordata; Mammalia; Primates; Hominidae
Description: HSALNT0323623
Source: RNAcentral